CCUACGGGAGGCAGCAGUGGGGAAUAUUGCACAAUGGGCGCAAGCCUGAUGCAGCCAUGCCGCGUGUAUGAAGAAGGCCUUCGGGUUGUAAAGUACUUUCAGCAGUGAGGAAGGUAGUGUAGUUAAUAGCUGCAUUAUUUGACGUUAGCUGCAGAAGAAGCACCGGCUAACUCCGUGC
This 178-nucleotide ribosomal RNA is filed under the name uncultured bacterium. RNAcentral describes it as "partial 16S ribosomal RNA". It matches the Rfam family "Bacterial small subunit ribosomal RNA", at positions 338 to 508 of the family's 1533-position model. The record is from RNAcentral.